This 69-nucleotide transfer RNA is filed under the name Parapenaeopsis hungerfordi. RNAcentral's name for it is "tRNA-Lys". Lineage: Eukaryota; Metazoa; Arthropoda; Malacostraca; Decapoda; Penaeidae. The record is from RNAcentral.
CACUAAAUGACUGAAAGUAAGUGUAAGUCUUUUAAACUUAUAAUGGUAACUAACAACUACCUUUAGUGG